RNAcentral lists this ribosomal RNA (253 nucleotides) under uncultured bacterium. RNAcentral's name for it is "partial 16S ribosomal RNA". It matches the Rfam family "Bacterial small subunit ribosomal RNA", at positions 524 to 776 of the family's 1533-position model. The record is from RNAcentral.
UACGUAGGGUCCGAGCGUUGUCCGGAAUCAUUGGGCGUAAAGCGCGCGUAGGCGGCCCGAUAAGUCCGUUGUGAAAGUCAAAGGCUCAACCUUUGAAUGCCGAUGGAUACUGUCGGGCUAGAGUCCGGAAGAGGCGAGUGGAAUUCCUGGUGUAGCGGUGGAAUGCGCAGAUAUCAGGAGGAACACCAAUAGCGAAGGCAGCUCGCUGGGACGGUACUGACGCUAAGGCGCGAAAGCGUGGGGAGCGAACAGG